This is a non-coding RNA of Erythranthe guttata (spotted monkey flower), 482 nucleotides long. NCBI's taxonomy places the organism in Eukaryota, Viridiplantae, Streptophyta, Magnoliopsida, Lamiales, Phrymaceae. The record is from RefSeq and is a predicted model, not a curated record.
GUGUCGGUUAUUAACAUAGUUAUCUUGAUAAUCCUCGUCACACUCUAUGUGGAUGCUUGUGCUGCUUUUAGGCACAACAAAAGGAUCGAUAACGACGAGCCUUAUGGAGAGACAAGAAUGGAGAAGUCGCAGCCUAGUAGGAUACAUUUCUAGAGGUGCGUUUGGAUUUUAAAGAUUUUUACGAGCAACGCGCGUAUGUGGAGUUAUUUCGCAGUUUUUUUGGUGUUUUCGGAAAAAAAAAAAAAAAAGAAAAAAAACACACUGUCUAUAUAUUUUGUAUUAAUGUGAUGACGUGUCUUGUAAUGGAACUGUUUAAGAACUAUGCUGCACAUGUAAACUACGUAAGGGUUUAUAAGCAACUGCAUGUGCACAAUGCAUCAUUGAGUAGACAUGGAUCCAUGAAAGGUGUUUAAUUAAGAGUGUUAAUUAAUAUUUUGUUGUUUAAUCACUUCAAAUUCAAUUUAUUUUUGGAGAGUAUUUAA